RNAcentral lists this ribosomal RNA (301 nucleotides) under uncultured bacterium. Its description in RNAcentral is "partial 16S ribosomal RNA". It matches the Rfam family "Bacterial small subunit ribosomal RNA", at positions 509 to 807 of the family's 1533-position model. The record is from RNAcentral.
CAGUAGCCGCGGUAAUACGAAGGGUGCAAGCGUUACUCGGAAUUACUGGGCGUAAAGCGUGUGUAGGUGGUUGUUUAAGUCUGUCGUGAAAUCCCCGGGCUUAACCUGGGAACUGCGCUUGUGACUGCACAGCUAGAGUAUGGCAGAGGGGGGUGGAAUUCCACGUGUAGCAGUGAAAUGCGUAGAGAUGUGGAGGAACACCGAUGGCGAAGGCAGCCCCCUGGGCCAAUACUGACGCUCAUGCACGAAAGCGUGGGGAGCAAACAGGAUUAGAUACCCGCGUAGUCCCUGUCUCUUAUAC